GACGAACGCUGGCGGCGUGCCUAAUACAUGCAAGUAGAACGCUGAAGCGAGGAGCUUGCUCUUCUUGGAUGAGUUGCGAACGGGUGAGUAACGCGUAGGUAACCUGCCUUGUAGCGGGGGAUAACUAUUGGAAACGAUAGCUAAUACCGCAUAACAAUGGAUGACACAUGUCAUUUAUUUGAAAGGGGCAAUUGCUCCACUACAAGAUGGACCUGCGUUGUAUUAGCUAGUAGGUGAGGUAAUGGCUCACCUAGGCGACGAUACAUAGCCGACCUGAGAGGGUGAUCGGCCACACUGGGAAUGAGACACGGCCCAGACUCCUACGGGAGGCAGCAGUAGGGAAUCUUCGGCAAUGGGGGCAACCCUGACCGAGCAACGCCGCGUGAGUGAAGAAGGUUAUCGGAUCGUAAAGCUCUGUUGUAAGUCAAGAACGGGUGUGAGAGUGGAAAGUUCACACUGUGACGGUAGCUUACCAGAAAGGGACGGCUAACUACGUG
This 497-nucleotide ribosomal RNA is filed under the name uncultured bacterium. RNAcentral describes it as "partial 16S ribosomal RNA". It matches the Rfam family "Bacterial small subunit ribosomal RNA", at positions 28 to 507 of the family's 1533-position model. The record is from RNAcentral.